Molecule: long non-coding RNA, 833 nt
Organism: Centruroides sculpturatus (bark scorpion)
Lineage: Eukaryota; Metazoa; Arthropoda; Arachnida; Scorpiones; Buthidae
Exons: 2
Source: RefSeq, a predicted model, not a curated record
AAGAACAUUAAAAACACGUGUUAAAGAACACAUAUCCGAUUUAAAAUAUAGUCGUCUGAACUCCGCUUUUUAUGAUCAUUGUGUAAUCAAUAAUUGUAGUAUAAACCAAUCUAAUAUACAAAUUUUACAUAAAGAAAAACGGAUUUAUGACAGAAAAUUUAAAGAAAGUGUGGAAAUAUUACGAAACAAAAACCAAGGCUGUAUAAAUAAAAACUUAAGUGUUAAAAUUCAUGAAAAUUGGUUAAAAAUAUUAUAAUGAAAUGUACUAGAUUAAUACAAUUUAUAAUAAUAGAAUGGUAAAAAAGAAUUAUUUAAUGAAACAAUGUUCUGUAUUAACGUCAUAUGUAAAUUAGAUAAUAAGAAAAUAUGCAGAGUAAACUUUAAGAGAAAUAGUGAUUUAUUGUAUAAAAAAAUUAAAAAUUUUUUUGUAAUUUCCUUAGGGAUUUUCAAAUGUUUGUCGAUUAAUUUGUUAACUAGUAUAACUUACGGCACAUAGUGCUAUAUGCAAAUUGUCGGAUCAGUCGACGAGGUGGCAAAAAAAGACUUUUGAAAUUUGUAAGUUUUAGUUUUUUAAAAUCUGCAGAGUUUAUCUUGUUUAUGUGAUAAAAUGUAGAAAAGGUUUUGUUUUUAACCUGUAUAGUUAAAAUUGUGAUAAAAAAUUGAUAUUGAAAAUGUUAAAAAAACCUAAGUGUAGUCUGAUUUCUACUGUAUGUGCAGUGUCCAUGCUGAAAUGAGUUAGCUGAAGAGGGGCUGAUGCCCGAAACGUUGAUGUAUGGAAAAAACGUUCUAACUAAAUAAAAGAUUCAACUAGCCCAGUGUUGAAAAAAACGUCA